Long non-coding RNA from Vespa crabro (European hornet), 1139 nucleotides. RefSeq lists it as uncharacterized. The transcript is spliced from 2 exons. Lineage: Eukaryota; Metazoa; Arthropoda; Insecta; Hymenoptera; Vespidae. The record is from RefSeq and is a predicted model, not a curated record.
AGUUAAGAAAAACAUUUUAGCCUUGAUGACAAAAAAAAAAAAGAAGAAGAAAAUGGCACCUUUCUGUGGUUUACGAAGAGUGCGAAGAUUUGUCAUUAUUGAGAGAUUGAAAAUUAAAUUGAAAGUAGUCGUAUUGGCGAAAUGUCAAGGUUGAAGAUUUAACAUUACUUACAGGAUGAAUAACAUAACUGCUUAUAUGUUCCACUUUUACUAGAUUCUUUUUAUUUAUAGUCUUACAACUUCAUUACUAAGUUGAUCAUGUGACUUAACAAGUGGAAUUAAUUUCUGUAUAAAGAAUGCUAUGAAUAUAUGCAACGUCAGAAAAGUCGUUGAACUCUCAACGGCAUAUCAUUGGCAUUAGAUUAGCUUCGUUAUCAACGGCAUCAUCUAUUAUAGAAGAUAAUUAUACUUGACUCUAAGAAUCGUUUAAAGCAAUUCGAAUUAUGUUUAUGUUUUCAUCAUAAAGACUGUAAUAUGAUAGCGUCUAUAACGUUAAAUGUUUCGAAAGAAUAAUAGUCGGCUUAUUUCGUAAUGAACUGACUAACAAUAGGAGGAUGCGAAUCUAUCAACCUGCACGCGAUUAUACGUGAAUUAUUCCAUUUCGCAGUAUUUUUCUUUCUUUCUUUCUUUCUUUCUUUCGUUCUCUUUCUUUUUUUCUUUUUCUUUUUUUUUUUUCGUCUUCUCUUUUAAAUAUUCUUCGAAGAUAAUAUCUCAGAAUACUUUUAUUUCUUUAUGAGAACACAACAACAGACAUUCAUCGAUGAAGAUGAAAGUUACAGUGUGUUCAAGGAAACUUGCAGACAAGCGAAGUAAAUGGGUGAGAGAAAUUCCAAAGCUAUCAGAAAAGAGGCUUGAGAAAGCGAUGAAGAACACGAUUGUGACAUACCAUUAUAUACAUCGAAUACACAAGCAAACAUAUUAACAAAAUUCGUCACUAAAACGAAUUAUCUCGACGAUCGUAAAUUUUUGGAAAUUUUUUUUUCGCCAUUGAAUUUACCUUUGCGACACAAUUAAACGAUACGAUAUGGAAUUUGACAAUGAAUAUCAUUUGUCUCGAGAAAAAUUUCAAUCCUUAAUUGUAUUUAUAUUGGAAAUGUUAUAUGUUAAUACGAGAAAGUAAAUUCUUGACUAAUUCUUAA